This 910-nucleotide small RNA is filed under the name Acholeplasma brassicae. RNAcentral's name for it is "bacterial LSU rRNA". The stretch from base 458 to 910 matches the Rfam family "Bacterial large subunit ribosomal RNA", at positions 1 to 497 of the family's 2925-position model. The record is from RNAcentral. Lineage: Bacteria; Bacillati; Mycoplasmatota; Mollicutes; Acholeplasmatales; Acholeplasmataceae.
CCGCCCGUCAAACCACGAAAGUUGGUAAUGCCCAACGCCGGUGGCCUAACUCGCAAGAGAGGGAGCCGUCUAAGGCAGGAUCGAUGAUUGGGGUUAAGUCGUAACAAGGUAUCCCUACGGGAACGUGGGGAUGGAUCACCUCCUUUCUAAGGAAAACAAGGCUUAAGAAGCCGAGAUCGCAUCUCGUAAAGAGAUGAUACAAACCAAUUCGUAAUGAAAUCAUCAUAUUCAGUUUUGAAAGACUUAAGAGUUUUUCUUGAAAUAAGUUAAGGUAUAAAAACCCUUAAAAAAGGGCCUAUAGCUCAGCUGGUUAGAGCGCACGGCUGAUAACCGUGAGGUCGAUGGUUCGAGUCCAUUUAGGCCCACCAUUUAACUUGUGCACUCAGUCAAAUGAGCGUACUUUAAUAACCUAUAAUAUAGGUUGAGAUCUUUGAAAAGUAGAUAAAUUCUGUCGUAAGGUUAAGGAAGUAAGGGCACACAGUGGAUGCCUUGGCACUAAGCGCCGAUGAAGGACGCAACUAACAGCGAAAUGCUACGGGGAGCGGUAAGUACGCGACGAUCCGUAGGAAUCCGAAUGGGGGAACCCGGCAUGUAGAAGACAUGUCACUCUAGCAAUAGAGGGGGAUACGCAGGGAACUGAAAUAUCUAAGUACCUGCAGGAAAAGAAAGUAACAACGAUUCUUCUAGUAGCGACGAGCGAACGAGGAGGAGCCUGAUUAUUCUAACAGUUACAAAAUCAAUUAAUAGACGAGCAAGUUGGGAAGCUUGACCAUAGAAGGUGAAAGUCCUGUAGUCGAAAUUAAUGGAUCUGGGAAUAACGAAAAGUAGGGCGGGACACGAGAAAUCCCGUUUGAAGAACGGAGGACCAUCUCCGAAGGCUAAAUACGACUUAGUGACCGAUAGUGAACCA